This 1047-nucleotide ribosomal RNA is filed under the name Triticum aestivum (bread wheat). RNAcentral's name for it is "partial small subunit ribosomal RNA". The record is from RNAcentral. Lineage: Eukaryota; Viridiplantae; Streptophyta; Magnoliopsida; Poales; Poaceae.
AUGGGGAGGAUACCGUCUCUGAAGAACUUCAAUGCGUUCCCGCACGCCGAAGAUCACCUGCUGAAGAAGACUUACUCGGGUGCUAUAGUGACGAUUCUUGGGCUGAUUGUUAUGGUUACACUUUUCGCGCAUGAGCUCACGUUUUACCUUACAACCUAUACGAUGCAUCAGAUGUCUGUAGAUCUGAAACGAGGAGAAACUCUACCAAUUCAUAUAAAUGUAUCAUUUCCAUCUUUACCAUGUGAAGUCUUGAGUGUGGAUGCAAUCGACAUGUCCGGCAAACAUGAGGUUGACUUGCAUACAAAUAUCUGGAAGCUUCGUUUGGAUAAGUAUGGCCACAUCAUUGGUACUGAGUACUUGUCUGAUCUAGUUGAAAAGGAGCAUGGAACUCAUGAUCAGGACCAUGGCCAUGAGCAUGAUGUAGAAAAGAAGCCCGAGCACACCUUCAACGAAGAUGCAGAUAAAAUGAUUAAGAGUGUCAAACUUGCAAUGGAAAAUGGCGAAGGAUGCCGAGUGUAUGGUGCUUUGGACGUGCAGAGGGUUGCUGGCAACUUCCAUAUAUCGGUGCAUGGUUUAAAUAUUUUUGUUGCAAAUCAGAUUUUUGAUGGGUCAAGCCAUGUCAAUGUUAGCCAUGUUAUCCAUCGACUGUCCUUUGGUCCAGAAUACCCUGGAAUUCAUAAUCCACUUGAUGAUACUUCAAGGAUACUGCAUGACACAAGUGGGACAUUCAAAUACUAUAUCAAGGUUGUUCCAACCGAGUACAGAUACCUCUCAAAGGGAGUGUUGCCAACAAAUCAGUUUUCCGUAACAGAGUAUUUUGUUCCCAUUCGCCCAACUGAUAGGUCCUGGCCAGCCGUUUACUUCCUGUAUGAUCUCUCACCAAUCACAGUCACCAUCAGAGAAGAAAGACGGAACUUCCUACAUUUCAUAACUCGCCUUUGUGCAGUUCUUGGGGGUACAUUUGCAAUGACAGGAAUGCUUGACCGGUGGAUGUACAGGAUCAUCGAGUCUAUCUCAAGCUCAAAACCUAGAAGUGGAAUGCGGUAA